AGAAGGUCAAAGUUUAACCUAAGUGCAGUGUAGCUGAUGAACAUCUUUAUAUGCAAAACCGGAGCACCCAGAGAAAACCCACGCAAACGCAGGGAGAAUUUGCAGACUCCACACAGAAAUGCCAGCUGAAAUGGAUGCCUGAUUGCAGUUCAACUCCAAACUCAGUUGGACCAGCUGAUCAGUGUCUUCAGUAUUACCACCAGCUACUGGGCAGAUGUGUGGACAGCUAUGAGCCAAACUUGGGACGUUUGGUUUUUAGCAGGUGGAGAGACCGUCUGGGCAGCAGAAACAAGACAACUAAUCAUAUUUAGAUACAAUCAAAUGUCCAAACCAUCUCUGAGUGAAUGACAUCAAGGAAACAGGAUCAAAAAGAUCAUUCAUUAUAGACCGUUUCAUAGUUGGUUAUAUUUUUCAGGUCCUCCUGAUCAUUCUGUUCUCCUGGUUGUGAGGAUGUGCAGAGGCUGUAUUUGUCAGUGUUAAAAGACUUGUGCAGCUGUAUCUAGACAUACAAGCAGCCGACAAAGAGUUCUGGAGCAGGACAGACAGGGCAGCACGGUGGCGCAGAGGGUAGCACGUUUGCCUCACAGCAAGAAGGUUGCUGCUUCAAGCUUCGGCUGGAUUGGUGUACGCUGAUGGUCUGCUGAGAAUUCUGCUGAGUUGAAGGGAUCCUCCUGUCAGACAACCUCUCCAAAGUACAAUAGGACUAAACAAUUUAGAGGAUGGCGACACACUUUUUAUUCCACCUCUAUAAGUCAGAGCAAGAAAAUGUUAUGUUUUCUUCUGGAGAAAGUCUUAUUUCUUUUAUUUCGGCUAGAAUAAAAACAGUUUUGAAUUUUUUAAAAAACAUUUUAAGGUCAAUAUUAUUAGCCACUUCAAGCAAUUUUUUGCGACUGUCUACAGAACAAACCAUCGAUAUACAAUAACUUGGCUAAUUACCCUAACCUGCCUAGUUAAGCAAAUUAACCUAGUUAAGCCUUUAAAUGUCACUUUAGGCUGUAUAGAAGUGUCUUGAAGAAUAUCUAGUCAAAUAUUAUUUACUCAGUUAUUAGAAAUGAGUUAUUAAAACAAUUGUCAUUAGAAAUGUGUUAAAAAUAUUUCAGUUAAAC
Danio rerio (zebrafish) is the source of this 1106-nucleotide non-coding RNA. The record is from Ensembl. NCBI's taxonomy places the organism in Eukaryota, Metazoa, Chordata, Actinopteri, Cypriniformes, Danionidae.